RNAcentral lists this unclassified non-coding RNA (332 nucleotides) under soil metagenome. Its description in RNAcentral is "partial contains 5.8S ribosomal RNA, internal transcribed spacer 2, and large subunit ribosomal RNA". The stretch from base 1 to 120 matches the Rfam family "5.8S ribosomal RNA", at positions 35 to 154 of the family's 154-position model. The record is from RNAcentral.
GAUGAAGAACGUAGCGAAAUGCGAUAAGUAGUGUGAAUUGCAGAAUUCAGGGAAUCAUCGAAUCUUUGAACGCACAUUGCGCCCUUUGGUAUUCCUUAGGGCAUGCCUGUUCGAGCGUCAUUUAAACCUUCAAGCUAAGCUUGGUGUUGGGUGACUGUCCGCUUCACGGCGGACUCGCCUCAAAAUUAUUGGCGGCCGGUACAUUGGCUUCGAGCGCAGCAGAAACGCGAACUCGGGCCCGUCGUAUUGGCUCCCAGAAGCUAUCUUCACAAUUUUGACCUCGGAUCAGGUAGGGAUACCCGCUGAACUUAAGCAUAUCAAUAAGCGGAGGA